UCCAGACUCCUACGGGAGGCAGCAGUGGGGAAUAUUGCACAAUGGGGGAAACCCUGAUGCAGCGACGCCGCGUGAGUGAAGAAGUAUUUCGGUAUGUAAAGCUCUAUCAGCAGGAAAGAAAAUGACGGUACCUGACUAAGAAGCCCCGGCUAACUACGUGCCAGCAGCCGCGGUAAUACGUAGGGGGCAAGCGUUAUCCGGAUUUACUGGGUGUAAAGGGAGCGUAGACGGUGAAGCAAGUCUGAAGUGAAAGGCGGGGGCUCAACCCCCGGACUGCUUUGGAAACUGUUUGACUGGAGUGCAGGAGAGGUAAGUGGAAUUCCUGGUGUAGCGGUGAAAUGCGUAGAUAUCAGGAGGAACACCGGCGGCGAAGGCGGCUUACUGGACUGUAACUGACGUUGAGGCUCGAAGGCGUGGGGAGCAAACAGGAUUAGAUACCCCAGUA
Molecule: ribosomal RNA, 445 nt
Filed under: uncultured bacterium
Lineage: Bacteria
Description: bacterial SSU rRNA
Rfam family: Bacterial small subunit ribosomal RNA
Source: RNAcentral